GGAGUCGUGGCCGAGAGGCUGAAGGCGGCGGUUUGCUAAACCGUUAUACGGGCGUAAACCCGUAUCGAGGGUUCGAAUCCCUCCGACUCCGCCA
Molecule: transfer RNA, 94 nt
Filed under: Pleomorphomonas sp. SM30
Lineage: Bacteria; Pseudomonadati; Pseudomonadota; Alphaproteobacteria; Hyphomicrobiales; Pleomorphomonadaceae
Also listed under: 1 other name
Description: tRNA-Ser
Rfam family: tRNA
About the family: Transfer RNA (tRNA) molecules are approximately 80 nucleotides in length. Their secondary structure includes four short double-helical elements and three loops (D, anti-codon, and T loops).
Source: RNAcentral